AUUGAACGCUGGCGGCAUGCCUAACACAUGCAAGUCGAACGGUAGCAGGUCCUUCGGGAUGCUGACGAGUGGCGGACGGGUGCGUAACGCGUGGGAAUCUGCCCAAUAGUGGGGGAUAACCCGGGGAAACCCGGGCUAAUACCGCAUACUCCCUACGGGGGAAAGCGGGGGACCGCAAGGCCUCGCGCUAUUGGAUGAGCCCGCGUCCGAUUAGCUUGUUGGCGGGGUAAAAGCCUACCAAGGCGACGAUCGGUAGCUGGUCUGAGAGGACGACCAGCCACACUGGGACUGAGACACGGCCCAGACUCCUACGGGAGGCAGCAGUGGGGAAUAUUGGACAAUGGGGGAAACCCUGAUCCAGCAAUGCCGCGUGUGUGAAGAAGGCCUGCGGGUUGUAAAGCACUUUCGGCAGGAAAGAAAAGCCAUGCGCUAAUACCGCAUGACCUUGACGUUACCUGCAAAAGAAGCACCGGCUAACUCCGUG
Molecule: ribosomal RNA, 484 nt
Filed under: uncultured bacterium
Lineage: Bacteria
Description: bacterial SSU rRNA
Rfam family: Bacterial small subunit ribosomal RNA
Source: RNAcentral